CCCCGAGUUUGUUCCAAUGACGCAUUAGACUCGCUCGCAUUUGCUGGCAUUCAGCCAAGCUGACUCCUCCUGCCUAGGUCCCAUGCCCUGCCCCUAUAUAAAUCGGUCAAGACAUCCCCUUCAUCAUCAGAGGUGAACUAGACCGAGACCAUACCAUCCUGUGUGGAGCCAAGCUUCGCCGGGAGAGCUGAGGAAGGAGAAAUGACCGCCGCCGUCAUUGUGCACAUACACCCACGACGAAGUCCCCAAGUCAGGCCUCAGCUUCACCUAGUCCUUGGGAUGGCGUGCAUGGACUUGCCGGGCGCAACAGGUGUGCGGAGCGUUCGGAAUUUCUUGCCGACGUGCUCAGAUCACCGCAAAGCCGCUCCUCAACAUCGACGGCCUCACUGAUGCCCUGAACCGAGGUGAGAUAUUCUCCAUGUAGUUCUCCUCCAUCUUCUUUAUGUGUAGCACCUCCCAGAUCGGUGUUCGAGUGCGGGAUUUGAAGUUUGGGAAAACUUCAGCGAGGGCACCGCUGUCUGCUGUCGUCGUAGAGGGAGGAAGGGCCGAUGGUUGUCCAUCUCAAGCGAGUGACUGAGAUUAGACUUGCCACACUCGUCAGACGUGGAUUUGAUGGCCCAGAUGCAUCCGCAGGUUAUAACAGCCAUAGUCUUUUUCAUGAGUCCAUAGGAUUUUCUCAAAAUAUCCCACCACCCGCAUCUAUUAGGAAUGUAUUAAAUAUAAGUCCUAGAAUUUUGAAAU
Molecule: long non-coding RNA, 741 nt
Filed under: Zea mays
Lineage: Eukaryota; Viridiplantae; Streptophyta; Magnoliopsida; Poales; Poaceae
Description: long non-coding RNA NONZMAT000336
Source: RNAcentral